GUUGUCCUGUCUUAGAGAAGGGGCUGAGAGGAUUGCCUGAGGCUCUUUGAUGAGGCUGGCUGGCACAGAAGCUGUCUUCUGUCCAAGAGCGGCUCUUCAGAUCCUGUACGGGCAAGACCUCUCCCUCAUCCGUGGCUCCCGUUGGCUCUAGCUCCUGCUUUCCUUCGGUUGUGGUGUAAGCAGGUUAUCGCAGCACAGCUUGCCUGCAGGAAGACAGCUAAACCGAAGCAAAAGGCAUUUCUGCUCCUUCCCUGCCUCUGCCCCAGCCCCAAUGAACGUGGCUGAAGUUGUGCCGUGGAACAUGCAGCCCCUCUAAAACACCUCUGUUGUGCAAACAGUUGGGGUGAAACUGGUGUGAACCCGUGUGCAGCAAGUUGGAUCAAGCUGUGCAAAAGGCACGUGGUGAAAGGUGGCAUGAUACCUUGUCACAUUAAAGAUGUCUCGGCUUUCUGACACAGAGAUGUGGGU
Long non-coding RNA from Tyto alba (common barn owl), 468 nucleotides. RefSeq lists it as uncharacterized. Lineage: Eukaryota; Metazoa; Chordata; Aves; Strigiformes; Tytonidae. The record is from RefSeq and is a predicted model, not a curated record. The transcript is spliced from 3 exons.